RNAcentral lists this ribosomal RNA (253 nucleotides) under uncultured bacterium. RNAcentral's name for it is "partial 16S ribosomal RNA". It matches the Rfam family "Bacterial small subunit ribosomal RNA", at positions 524 to 776 of the family's 1533-position model. The record is from RNAcentral.
UACGUAGGGUGCGAGCGUUGUCCGGAAUUAUUGGGCGUAAAGAGCUUGUAGGCGGUCUGUCGCGUCUGCUGUGAAAAUCCGGGGCUCAACCCCGGACUUGCAGUGGGUACGGGCAGACUAGAGUGUGGUAGGGGAGACUGGAAUUCCUGGUGUAGCGGUGAAAUGCGCAGAUAUUAGGAAGAACACCGGUGGCGAAGGCGGCUCUCUGGAACGGUACUGACGCUGAGACGCGAAAGCGUGGGGAGCGAACAGG